Molecule: long non-coding RNA, 277 nt
Filed under: Lathyrus oleraceus (garden pea)
Lineage: Eukaryota; Viridiplantae; Streptophyta; Magnoliopsida; Fabales; Fabaceae
Description: Pisum sativum (pea) long non-coding RNA (PSAT_LNC017379)
Source: RNAcentral
UAUUAACACCCUAAACAUCUAUAGUACUCUAUAGGAACCUCUCUGAAAAUCUGUACAUUUUGGCUAAAAAGGGUGUUGUUUGCAAAAGAUUGGGGAGAUGAGAAGAGAAAUGUUUUUCAUAAUUUUGUGUUUGCCAAGAUUUCCCAAGUCUCAUGCCUAUGUACCAACAAAGUGCAACGGAGGAUCAAAACCUCGUAGUUCAUGGUAAAACAAUGAAGAUGUUUGUUUUGAUUCAUUUUUAAUAAAAAGACAUUUUGUCAUUUUUAAGAGAACACUC